UACGGAGGAUGCAAGCGUUAUCCGGAAUUAUUGGGCGUAAAGCGUCCGCAGGUGGCACUUCAAGUCUGUCGUCAAAGCCCGGGGCUUAACCCUGGAAAGGCGAUGGAAACUGAAAGGCUAGAGAGAGGUAGGGGUAGAGGGAAUUCCCAGUGUAGCGGUGAAAUGCGUAGAGAUUGGGAAGAACAUCGGUGGCGAAAGCGCUCUACUGGACCUCAUCUGACACUCAGGGACGAAAGCUAGGGGAGCGAAUGGG
Molecule: ribosomal RNA, 253 nt
Filed under: uncultured bacterium
Lineage: Bacteria
Description: partial 16S ribosomal RNA
Rfam family: Bacterial small subunit ribosomal RNA
Source: RNAcentral